RNAcentral lists this ribosomal RNA (442 nucleotides) under Epilobium montanum. Its description in RNAcentral is "eukaryotic LSU rRNA". The stretch from base 302 to 442 matches the Rfam family "Eukaryotic large subunit ribosomal RNA", at positions 1 to 141 of the family's 3401-position model. The record is from RNAcentral. Lineage: Eukaryota; Viridiplantae; Streptophyta; Magnoliopsida; Myrtales; Onagraceae.
UGCAGAAUCCCGUGAACCAUCGAGUCUUUGAACGCAAGUUGCGCCCUAAGCCAUUUGGCCGAGGGCACGUCUGCCUGGGCGUCAAUCAUCUAUUCGUCACCCAACCUCCGCUCCCCGAAAAGGAGCAAUUGGUCCCGGGUACGGAAGUUGGCCUCCCGUGCUCUUGAAGCGCGGCUGGCCUAAAACUGAGCAUCGGACUGAUGAUCUCCGAGGCACGCGGUGGUUGUUCAUUCUUACCUCGUGAUGUUGCCAAGGAGCGUCUCCCGUACGAAGCUCCACGACCCUAGAUUUACUAUCGAUGCGACCCCAGGUCAGGCGGGGCCACCCGCUGAAUUUAAGCAUAUCAAUAAGCGGAGGAAAAGAAACUAACAAGGAUUCCCCUAGUAGCGGCGAGCGAACCGGGAAAUGCCCACCAUGAAAAUCGAGCUCCUUUGGUGCUCGA